RNAcentral lists this ribosomal RNA (492 nucleotides) under uncultured bacterium. RNAcentral's name for it is "partial 16S ribosomal RNA". It matches the Rfam family "Bacterial small subunit ribosomal RNA", at positions 29 to 507 of the family's 1533-position model. The record is from RNAcentral.
AGUGAACGCUGGCGGUAGGCCUAACACAUGCAAGUCGAACGGCAGCACAGUAAGAGCUUGCUCUUACGGGUGGCGAGUGGCGGACGGGUGAGGAAUACAUCGGAAUCUACUUUUUCGUGGGGGAUAACGUAGGGAAACUUACGCUAAUACCGCAUACGACCUACGGGUUAAAGCAGGGGAUCUUCGGACCUUGCGCGAUUGCAUGAGCCGAUGUCGGAUUAGCUAGUUGGCGGGGUAAAGGCCCACCAAGGCGACGAUCCGUAGCUGGUCUGAGAGGAUGAUCAGCCACACUGGAACUGAGACACGGUCCAGACUCCUACGGGAGGCAGCAGUGGGGAAUAUUGGACAAUGGGCGCAAGCCUGAUCCAGCCAUACCGCGUGGGUGAAGAAGGCCUUCGGGUUGUAAAGCCCUUUUGUUGGGAAAGAAAAGCAGCAGGUUAAUACCCCGCUGUUCUGACGGUACCCAAAGAAUAAGCACCGGCUAACUUCGUG